UGAAUAUCUGUUGAGGUCAAUCUACAACACUGACGUUCUUGUUGGAGACAUAGUGGAGAAAACAAUUGCUCAGCAUGUUGCCAUGGCGACACCGAAGGAUAAAGUGGUGCCUGUAGCCCUCGUUGCCGCGGUGACCAAGUGUACCUUAUCAGAGGCGAAGACCACACUCUCUAGACAGCCGGUCAUACGGACAGCUAUCGUAAAUGCCCUUCAAAAUGUCGGGAAAUGAAUGCAUGAGACACACUGAUAUUUGGUAUAUUAAACACACAUUUUUUUGUUAAUGUGGACCGUUCAGAGCAAGUUUCUUCAUAUGUUUUAAAGUCGAGAAGGAAGUUAUACCCACUUUAUACCGUACAAGUAUGUACUAUUACAGUGUAUUACUUGGAAUAUAAAACACAUCAGACAAC
Long non-coding RNA from Dreissena polymorpha, 407 nucleotides. RefSeq lists it as uncharacterized. The record is from RefSeq and is a predicted model, not a curated record. The transcript is spliced from 2 exons. Lineage: Eukaryota; Metazoa; Mollusca; Bivalvia; Myida; Dreissenidae.